Molecule: long non-coding RNA, 646 nt
Organism: Selaginella moellendorffii
Lineage: Eukaryota; Viridiplantae; Streptophyta; Lycopodiopsida; Selaginellales; Selaginellaceae
Exons: 2
Source: RefSeq, a predicted model, not a curated record
AAGCAAGGGGUGAUAACUUACAAGAUCGCUGCUCACGCUGCGGACCUUGCGAAACAGCAUCCUUUUGCUUAGGCUUGGGACGACGCGCUGAGCACGGCGAGAUUCCAGUUCCGGUGGAGGGACCAGUUUGCGCUGUCCUUGGACCCCAUGACAGCGUUGGCGUUUCACGACGAGACGCUGCCGAGCGAAGGAGCAAAAGUCGCGCACUUUUGCUCCAUGUGUGGUCCAAAGUUUUGCUCCAUGAAGAUCACGGAGGACGUGAGGAAGUAUGCCGAGGAGCAUGGCUACACCAAUAUGGAGGACGCGAUGAAAGACGGCAUGGCUAAGAUGAGCCAGGAGUUUUCAGCUGCGAAGAAGACUAUCACCGGCGAGCAGUGGGGAGAGUCCGGUGGGGAGAUCUACUUACCAGAGGAAAGCAAGGAACCAGUUGCUUAAGAGCGAUGGCUGAAAGAUCAUCUUGUCUCACAAGGUGAUCUUGCCAAGGAAAGGAGCGACAGGAUUUGGAUCUGGAGAAGAUGACGAUCAAGUUUGAAGGUAGAGUUUGGUUUGGUUUGUAGGGAAUAAGUGGUGGUGCUCUCGCUUGUGUAGCUAGAUUUCUCUUUCGUUUUUGCUCUAUAAGUUUGAAGGUUUGCUAUUUUGCAUUGCU